RNAcentral lists this ribosomal RNA (440 nucleotides) under uncultured bacterium. RNAcentral describes it as "partial 16S ribosomal RNA". It matches the Rfam family "Bacterial small subunit ribosomal RNA", at positions 338 to 795 of the family's 1533-position model. The record is from RNAcentral.
CCUACGGGAGGCAGCAGUGGGGAAUCUUCCGCAAUGGGCGAAACCCUGAUGCAGCGACGCCGCGUGAGUGAUGAAGUAUUUCGGUAUGUAAAGCUCUAUCAUCAGGGAAGAACAUGAGUGUACCUAACUAAGAAGCCCCUGCUAAAUACGUGCCAGCAGCCGAGGUAAUACGUAGGGGGCAAGCGUUAUCCGGAAUUAAUGGGUGUAACGGGAGCGUAGACGGUCAGAUAAGUCAGAAGUGAAAGCCCAGGGCUCAACCCUGGGACUGCAUUUGAAACUGCCGAGCUGGAGUGCAGGAGAGGUAAGCGGAAUUCCAAGUGUAGCGGUGAAAUGCGUAGAUAUUAGGAGGAACACCAGUGGCGAAGGCGACUUACUGGACUGUAACUGACGUUGAGGCUCGAAAGCGUGGGGAGCAAACAGGAUUAGAUACCCUAGUAGUC